RNAcentral lists this long non-coding RNA (344 nucleotides) under Pan troglodytes (chimpanzee). RNAcentral describes it as "long non-coding RNA NONPTRT007111". The record is from RNAcentral. Lineage: Eukaryota; Metazoa; Chordata; Mammalia; Primates; Hominidae.
UGGAUAGUGGAAACCAGAAUUUAGAAUUUUAAAGUAGGCACAACUCCAGGUGUCACCAAAGUCCACAGAGUAGUCAUGGGAGUGGACCAACAGUCACUGGAACAAGAAGUCAGAAGUGGAUUGGACCUGAAAGGCAAGAGAGUAGGAGCCAGCGUCUGUCAUUAGGAUCCUGACCAUCCCAGUUGCCGGUCACGCUCACCCGUCUCCUUCCACCAGGGGGCAGGGCUCGUUUACAUAUGGAUUUCGCCGCGCAGAUGCCAGGGGCGGAACCUCCUCUCCAGCCUGGGUCCCUGCUGUCCUCAGGAUUGUAUUUGCUGCUUUUAAUGGAGCGAAUCCCCCCUCCC